GCGCUCCUAGCUCAGUUGGUAGAGCAGCUGACUCUUAAUCAGCGGGUCGUAGGUUCGAUCCCUACGGGGCGCACCA
This 76-nucleotide transfer RNA is filed under the name Phycisphaerae bacterium. RNAcentral's name for it is "tRNA-Lys". It matches the Rfam family "tRNA". From Rfam's summary of the family: Transfer RNA (tRNA) molecules are approximately 80 nucleotides in length. Their secondary structure includes four short double-helical elements and three loops (D, anti-codon, and T loops). Further hydrogen bonds mediate the characteristic L-shaped molecular structure. tRNAs have two regions of fundamental functional importance: the anti-codon, which is responsible for specific mRNA codon recognition, and the 3' end, to which the tRNAs corresponding amino acid is attached (by aminoacyl-tRNA synthetases). tRNAs cope with the degeneracy of the genetic code in two manners: having more than one tRNA (with a specific anti-codon) for a particular amino acid; and 'wobble' base-pairing, i.e. permitting non-standard base-pairing at the 3rd anti-codon position. RNAcentral also lists the same sequence under 2 other names. The record is from RNAcentral. Lineage: Bacteria; Pseudomonadati; Planctomycetota; Phycisphaerae.